GACAGAGGGUGCAAACGUUGUUCGGAAUUACUGGGCGCAAAGCGCGUGUAGGCGGUCUCGCAAGUCGGAUGUGAAAGCCCAGGGCUCAACCCUGGAAGUGCACUCGAUACUGCGAGGCUAGAGUCCCGGAGAGGAUGGUGGAACUCUCGGUGUAGAGGUGAAAUUCGUAGAUAUCGAGAAGAACACCGGUGGCGAAGGCGGCCAUCUGGACGGUGACUGACGCUGAGACGCGAAAGCGUGGGGAGCAAACAGG
This 253-nucleotide ribosomal RNA is filed under the name uncultured bacterium. RNAcentral describes it as "partial 16S ribosomal RNA". It matches the Rfam family "Bacterial small subunit ribosomal RNA", at positions 524 to 776 of the family's 1533-position model. The record is from RNAcentral.